GUUAUGUGUUUCAUGUAUUUUAUUGUCCAUUGUGUAGGAGUUUAACUAGCAGAGUGAUUUGCAUAUCAUUAACGCAAGCAUUUAGUGUUUUUACAAAAGGUGAAAUGCUGUCCAGCCGGCUAGAAUGAAACAAUUGUAUGCUAUCGCUCCUGGAGCAAGAAAAGCGCUUGUUACAUCCCACGUGAAAGGGGCCCCGCAAACUUCUGCUGUUCAAAUCGUGGCUCCACAUUUCCAUUUGCAAACUGAUUAAUCCUGAAAGUCAUUCUUUUACUGAUAAAAAGGAUUGAAUGGACAAGAUGUCUCUCCCUCAUAAAGG
Pelobates cultripes (western spadefoot toad) is the source of this 316-nucleotide non-coding RNA. NCBI's taxonomy places the organism in Eukaryota, Metazoa, Chordata, Amphibia, Anura, Pelobatidae. The record is from the annotation of a GenBank genome assembly.